CCUGCCUGUACCAUAACCGACACAGGUGGGUAGGUAGAGUAUACUAAGGGGCGCGGGAUAACUCUCUCUAAGGAACUCGGCAAAAUGACUCCGUAACUUCGGGAGAAGGAGUGCCUUAUUUAUAAGGUUGCAAUAACAAGAUCCAAGCAACUGUUUAUCAAAAACACAGGUCUCCGCUAAGUCGUAAGACGAUGUAUGGGGGCUGACGCCUGCCCAGUGCCAGAAGGUUAAAGAAGUUGGUUAGUGUAUGCGAAGCUGAUGACUGAAGCCCUGGUGAACGGCGGCCGUAACAAUAACGGUCCUAAGGUAGCGAAAUUCCUUGUCGGGUAAGUUCCGACCCGCACGAAAGGCGUAAUGAUUUGGAUACUGUCUCGGAGAGAGGCUCGGUGAAAUAGACUUGUCUGUGAAGAUGCGGACUACCUGCACCAGGACAGAAAGACCCUAUGAAGCUUUACUGUAACUUGAAAUUGGAAUUGGACUUUGCUUGCGCAGUAUAGGUGGGAAGCGUUGAAGAUAUUCUUGCGGGAGUAUUGGAGCUAUCAGUGAGAUACCACUCUUGUAAUGUUAGAUUUCUAACUUUGAACCAUAAUCUGGUCAAAGAACAGUUUCAGGUGGGCAGUUUGACUGGGGCGGUCGCCUCCCAAAUGGUAACGGAGGCGUACAAAGGUUUCCUCUGAACGGAUAGAAAUCGUAUCUAGAGUGUAAAGGCAUAAGGAAGCUUGACUGUGAGACCUACAAGUCGAGCAGGGACGAAAGUCGGUCUUAGUGAUCUGACGGUACUGAGUGGAAAGGCCGUCACUCAACGGAUAAAAGUUACUCUAGGAUAACAGGCUGAUCUCCCCCAAGAGUUCACAUCGACGGGGAGGUUUGGCACCUCGAUGUCGGCUCAUCGCAUCCUGGGGCGGUAGUACGUCCCAAGGGUUGGGCUGUUCGCCCAUGAAAGCGGUACGCGAGCUGGGUUCAGAACGUCGUGAGACAGUUCGGUCCAUAUCCGGUGUAGGCGUUAGAAUAUUGAGAGGAGCCUUCUUUAGUACGAGAGGACCGAGAAGGACACACCGCUGGUGUACCAGUUAUCGUGCCAACGGUAAACGCUGGGUAGCUAUGUGUGGAGUGGAUAACCGCUGAAAGCAUCUAAGUGGGAAGCCCACCUCAAGAUGAGUAUUCUCAUGGAGUUAAUCCAGUAAGGUCACGGGAAGACGACCCGUUAAUAGGUUCUAAGUGGAAGUGUGGCAACAUACGUAGCUGAGGAAUACUAACAGACC
Molecule: ribosomal RNA, 1262 nt
Filed under: metagenome
Description: bacterial LSU rRNA
Rfam family: Bacterial large subunit ribosomal RNA
Source: RNAcentral